GACGAACGCUGGCGGCGUGCCUAAUACAUCCAAGUUGAGCGCUGAAGGUUGGUACUUGUACCGACUGGAUGAGCAGCGAACGGGUGAGUAACGCGUGGGGAAUCUGCCUUUGAGCGGGGGACAACAUUUGGAAACGAAUGCUAAUACCGCAUAAAAACUUUAAACACAAGUUUUAAGUUUGAAAGAUGCAAUUGCAUCACUCAAAGAUGAUCCCGCGUUGUAUUAGCUAGUUGGUGAGGUAAAGGCUCACCAAGGCGAUGAUACAUAGCCGACCUGAGAGGGUGAUCGGCCACAUUGGGACUGAGACACGGCCCAAACUCCUACGGGAGGCAGCAGUAGGGAAUCUUCGGCAAUGGACGAAAGUCUGACCGAGCAACGCCGCGUGAGUGAAGAAGGUUUUCGGAUCGUAAAACUCUGUUGGUAGAGAAGAACGUUGGUGAGAGUGGAAAGCUCAUCAAGUGACGGUAACUACCCAGAAAGGGACGGCUAACUACGUG
RNAcentral lists this ribosomal RNA (497 nucleotides) under uncultured bacterium. RNAcentral's name for it is "partial 16S ribosomal RNA". It matches the Rfam family "Bacterial small subunit ribosomal RNA", at positions 28 to 507 of the family's 1533-position model. The record is from RNAcentral.